GUGACGGCGACGGCCACAUCGAAGGGCUAUGCGUCAGCGCCAUAGCAUACGCCGGCGUUUGACGCAGAAGUAUAAAUCAGCCUUAAGUCAAGAACCAAAUGAAGCACCAGAGUACAGAUUAUGGAGGUAUCUGAAGUUGAACUAACUGGAAGCAGGGAACCAUACUAAUAAAGUUCCUUAAGCAGUUUCCUUGUAAAGAUGAACCCAGGGAAGGAUCGAAAGUGGAGAAGACCAGAUCAAGAAAGACUACAUCAAGAUCUGCGGUCAGUUCAAAGGAUGUUUUGCAUUGGACUGUUUUUUUUGGCUUUGACCCUUGCUUGCCCCUGACCUCACUCUUGGACUGCCCUGUUGGAUUUUCAGUUUAUUUAAUUUAAAAAAAAAAAUUUGGUUCUGGGUAGAUGCUAAUAAAUAUUUAAUUGUAAUUAUUUAAUGUAAAUCAAAGGCGGCAACACCAAGGCUCCAAAAAUACAAAUUUAUUAAAUUAAAAAGGCUGACACAGAGCGUGUAACGUUUCGAGCCGCCGGCUCUUCAUCAGACAAAUUCUUUUUCGUUGUAAUUUUUUAAAUAAUAUGUUUUUGUUAAAUAUUCGAUUUCUGUGUUUGUUCUGUCUACUCGUACUUGUUUAUCUUGUCUCUGUAAUUAUCAUUUGUUAAUUU
Molecule: long non-coding RNA, 656 nt
Organism: Danio rerio (zebrafish)
Lineage: Eukaryota; Metazoa; Chordata; Actinopteri; Cypriniformes; Danionidae
Source: Ensembl